Molecule: ribosomal RNA, 253 nt
Filed under: uncultured bacterium
Lineage: Bacteria
Description: partial 16S ribosomal RNA
Rfam family: Bacterial small subunit ribosomal RNA
Source: RNAcentral
UACAGAGGUGGCAAGCGUUGUUCGGAAUUACUGGGCGUAAAGGGCGCGUAGGCGGUCUUGUCAGUCCCUUGUGAAAUCCCCCGGCUCAACUGGGGAACUGCACGGGAAACAGCAGGGCUUGAGUUCGGGAGAGGGAAGCGGAAUUCCGGGUGUGGCGGUGAAAUGCGUAGAUAUCCGGAGGAACACCGGUGGCGAAGGCGGCAUCCUGGACCAACACUGACGCUGAGGAGCGAAAGCCAGGGGAGCAAACGGG